CCUUCGAUAGCUCAGCUGGUAGAGCGGAGGACUGUAGUGGAAACAGAGGCAUCCUUAGGUCGCUGGUUCGAUUCCGGCUCGAAGGA
RNAcentral lists this transfer RNA (86 nucleotides) under Pelodiscus sinensis (Chinese soft-shelled turtle). It matches the Rfam family "tRNA". Rfam says of the family: Transfer RNA (tRNA) molecules are approximately 80 nucleotides in length. Their secondary structure includes four short double-helical elements and three loops (D, anti-codon, and T loops). Further hydrogen bonds mediate the characteristic L-shaped molecular structure. tRNAs have two regions of fundamental functional importance: the anti-codon, which is responsible for specific mRNA codon recognition, and the 3' end, to which the tRNAs corresponding amino acid is attached (by aminoacyl-tRNA synthetases). tRNAs cope with the degeneracy of the genetic code in two manners: having more than one tRNA (with a specific anti-codon) for a particular amino acid; and 'wobble' base-pairing, i.e. permitting non-standard base-pairing at the 3rd anti-codon position. Lineage: Eukaryota; Metazoa; Chordata; Testudines; Trionychidae. The record is from Rfam by way of RNAcentral.